AUUGAACGCUGGCGGCAGGCUUAACACAUGCAAGUCGAGCGGAGCGAGGGUGCUUGCACCUUAGCUUAGCGGCGGACGGGUGAGUAAUGCUUAGGAAUCUGCCUAUUAGUGGGGGACAACAUUCCGAAAGGAAUGCUAAUACCGCAUACGCCCUACGGGGGAAAGCAGGGGAUCUUCGGACCUUGCGCUAAUAGAUGAGCCUAAGUCGGAUUAGCUAGUUGGUGGGGUAAAGGCCUACCAAGGCGACGAUCUGUAGCGGGUCUGAGAGGAUGAUCCGCCACACUGGGACUGAGACACGGCCCAGACUCCUACGGGAGGCAGCAGUGGGGAAUAUUGGACAAUGGGCGGAAGCCUGAUCCAGCCAUGCCGCGUGUGUGAAGAAGGCCUUUUGGUUGUAAAGCACUUUAAGCGAGGAAGAGGCUACUUAGAUUAAUACUCUGGGAUAGUGGACGUUACUCGCAGAAUAAGCACCGGCUAACUCUGUGCCAGCAGCCGCCGUAAA
Molecule: ribosomal RNA, 502 nt
Filed under: uncultured bacterium
Lineage: Bacteria
Description: partial 16S ribosomal RNA
Rfam family: Bacterial small subunit ribosomal RNA
Source: RNAcentral